CAGCGCACCACGCGAGCGAAAAAACCACCGCACCACGCUCGUCGCGUGAUAAAAGGUGAGCGGGCAGCAGACCUAGCCCACCCCGCGACCCUCGUUCCUCAUGCGCCGCCGCCGCCGCCCCCCGCCCGCGAUGGAGAAAGUGAGAGGAAAGAGGAGAGGGAGGUGAGGCAGCAGACAGGAGAGGGUCACCGGCUGCUGUCGGCCUGCGCCGGCGAGGUCGGGCGCGACCUGGCGGUUGGUGGCGGCUCGAUCCGCUCCUGGAUCGGGAGAGGAGGAAGGGAGGUGGGGGGCCGGCCGUCUCUGUGCCUCCUCGACGCCGAGCUGCGGCUGCUCCGUGUGUGCGCGCUCUCUCUCUCUCUCUCUCUCUCUCUCUCUCUCUCUCUCCGGGCUCGCCGGGUCGCCGCCCCUCACGCCGCGCUGGCUAGGGGCGAGAAGGCGGAGGCAGGAGCGGCUGCUUCGGGCCCCGAUCUGGGGAGGGUACGAGGCAGGGAAGGACGCCGUCCCUUUCAUUCUCUCUCUGAUUCGUCCUCUUCCCUCUUUCCAUCCCUCCUGCUCGCCAGCGGUUCCUCCUCCCCUGCCUCCUCACGUCGCCCUCAAGUCCGAGGCAACGAGUUUGCUUCCUCUGCUCCGUUCAUGUCAUUGAGCUUUUUCCUUGGGCAUAGCACCACAUUUGCGGCAGCACACCGGAGUCAAUUUGGUUGACUAGCAAUAGAGCAAAGGUGAGAGUAAAAUCAGGUCUUCACCUAUGGAGGAGGUAGAUACUGACGGAGUGCAUAUGACCAGGUGUCCUCCAGGUUCUGCAUCAUCAGUGUGUACCUCUAGAUUCUGCAUCAUUAGUGAGCAACUUACCUAAGCAACCGAGCCCAAUCAACAAUUGGUAGAAGUAGUUAUGAGAUGAGGCAGAGGAGAGCAGAGAGGACCGGAGAAGGAGUUGCAGACCUCGCCAACAAGGCCGUGACCCUACAUCACUAAAAAAAUGCGCCGUAUUUGUUUCUCAUGCUUUACCAUGGCAUGUUCUUAUUAGUUCAGGUUGGUCUCUCCGGUUCUUUUCGCCAAUGGCUUGAUGUACGCACUGGCAACCUCUUACUGGAAGGAUUCGGCAUGCCUCUGUUCGAGAGAUGGGAUAUGAAGAAAUGGCGUUCUGUAGGUUGUCUUCAUGUCGCUGUUGUGCUACUGCUAGGCAUGAACAGAAUGGCCUCCUCUUAUUGCGAACCACACUGAUGUUGGCUUCUGAUUUCUGCUGUAAUGGAUUAUUUACUAUGGACAAAUAUGGCAAUAUUCAUUUGGAGCACCGUUUCUUGAGGAUAUGUCUCUUCUACAGGUAUGACAUUAUCAUUGGAACGUAUACUAUGUCUAUUUGAUAUAUCUAUGACUAUAUCCUUCCAAAGAAUAUUUAUUUUUGUAUUAUAUACUUUUUUUUCGAAAAGGGGGAGAUCCCCGGCCUCUGCAUCAGAACGAUGCAUACAUGAUAUCGGUACUUUUUAUAACUGAUCCAUGUUCUUGGAAUACUUUAUUUUAUUUCAUUAAUAAGCAAGGGUGGAUGGUGGCUUGCAGUGUGCUUGUACUAAAAAAGGUGUUCUGCCAUCCCAUGAAUUCUAGCACAGCUUGAAGCGGCCAAGUCAAGGAGGACCUAUAAAAUUAUUUGAUCGUCUCUCGCUCUCUCUCUCUCUCUAUAUAUAUAUAUAUGUUGUCUGGUGCAUGUAUGGCUGAGAAUAGGGAGAGAGAGCAAGUUUAAUUUUCCUUGGGCAUUCAAAUUCUUAUUUUGCUUUUCUCAGAUUUUUGGCUGGGUGUUUAAACAUACUUGCACACACUGGUUUCAGAUUUCAGUGUAAACUACAAAUAGGGGAAAAAUAUAGUGAUUUUUCCAAAUUAGAAAUAGGGAGAAGGGAAACUAUUGAUUAUUGUGUGCAUGUAUAACUAAUUGGAUUACUGGUUGAACGAGUGCAGACUUGAGAAAGAAGAGAUAGGGCCAAUAAAAUUAGGUGGGAGGUAUGCUGAUGGGUUCAUUUUAGCAUUACUAAUCGACCGCUUGGCAUCCUGAAGGUAUGAUGCAUAUUGCCUUGCUCUGAUUUGCUUAUUUGAAUGUGUUUGUGUACAUCAAAGUUCAUUUUGUUAUUUUUGCUCUUUGAGGGAUAUAGGAGGAGAGAUAUCUAUUGUUGAAAUUUGAUGAUAAAAAUAUAGCCAUUAUUGUUACAAGCAUUAUUGUUCCAGUUUUUUUUUAGUUAUUGAUUAUGCCAUUUUUCUUUCUGCCUUUGUAGCUGAAAGAUUAGCGAGACUGACUAAAUUCUAAACAUGUUCCAUGUGAGAGAAAUAGCAUGUUGAUUUCAUCUUGAAAUAAUCAUAGUUGAGGGAUGAGGUUCGUAACCGAGGGUCAUGUGCAGAGCUGGAGGAAGAAGUUGCGAGGCUUGAAACUCUGUGAAGGGCUCAGGGGCAGCAGUGAGGACAAUGCCUCUUUAGUUGUAAUUGUGAUACUCUUGAUGUGCAAUUAAACACUCAUGUGAUACUCCUUAUGCUAAAAUGUUGGUUGUUAGUACAGAGGUGGUGACAUUAUUUGGUUCUCUGGUAUUAAUUUCAUGAUUUGUGGUUAAUACAUGAUGUAAUACAAUCCACAUUGUAUUAUAUUUCCAGUUACAUCUUUUACUUACUCACUACUAACAUUCUUUCUAAUUUGCUUCUUGCGCCAUUGGCGCAACCG
This is a long non-coding RNA of Triticum dicoccoides, 2695 nucleotides long. RefSeq lists it as uncharacterized. NCBI's taxonomy places the organism in Eukaryota, Viridiplantae, Streptophyta, Magnoliopsida, Poales, Poaceae. The record is from RefSeq and is a predicted model, not a curated record. The transcript has 6 exons.